Molecule: ribosomal RNA, 768 nt
Filed under: uncultured bacterium
Lineage: Bacteria
Description: bacterial SSU rRNA
Rfam family: Bacterial small subunit ribosomal RNA
Source: RNAcentral
GACGAACGCUGGCGGCGUGCCUAAUACAUGCAAGUCGAGCGAAGUUUUUCUGGUGCUUGCACUAGAAAAACUUAGCGGCGAACGGGUGAGUAACACGUAAAGAACCUGCCUUAUAGACUGGGACAACUAUUGGAGACGAUAGCUAAUACCGGAUAACAGCAUUAACUGCAUGGUUGAUGUUUAAAAGUUGGUUUUGCUAACACUAUGAGAUGGCUUUGCGGUGCAUUAGCUAGUUGGUGGGGUAAAGGCCUACCAAGGCGACGAUGCAUAGCCGACCUGAGAGGGUGAUCGGCCACACUGGGACUGAGACACGGCCCAGACUCCUACGGGAGGCAGCAGUAGGGAAUCUUCCGCAAUGGGCGAAAGCCUGACGGAGCAACGCCGCGUGAGUGAAGAAGGAUUUCGGUUCGUAAAGCUCUGUUGUUAGGGAAGAAUGAUUGUGUAGUAACUAUACACAGUAGAGACGGUACCUAACCAGAAAGCCACGGCUAACUACGUGCCAGCAGCCGCGGUAAUACGUAGGUGGCAAGCGUUGCCCGGAAUUAUUGGGCGUAAAGCGCGCGCAGGUGGUUUAAUAAGUCUGAUGUGAAAGCCCACGGCUCAACCGUGGAGGGUCAUUGGAAACUGUUAAACUUGAGUGCAGGAGAGAAAAGUGGAAUUCCUAGUGUAGCGGUGAAAUGCGUAGAGAUUAGGAGGAACACCAGUGGCGAAGGCGGCUUUUUGGCCUGUAACUGACACUGAGGCGCGAAAGCGUGGGGAGCAAACAGG